UUCUGCCCCACCCCCUUGAAAAAUUGAUUUGGGAGUUAGGGAAUGAAGGCUUUCUUUUUUUCUUUCUUGCCUUCUUUAUUAUUAAUAUUUUGUAAAGCUUCAGUGCUAACAGGAGUCGCCCCGAGCGAGGCCAGACUGCACGGACGGCCAGGAGCGCAGUGGCUCCACCAGGGGACGGCGCCGGCCGGGAGUGGCCGCCCAGGGACCCCGACUGUCGGCCGAGGUAUGCCUCUCCCAUGUAGACCAGCUGAGGACUCAAGGCAAGAAAUGACUUCUCACCGCACGAGACAAGUCUGACUGUACUGAAUGAUCACCCUGUUGCCUUCGUCUGCCUUCACUGCCUUCCCUUCUACCCGGGGCGCUAAGCAUGGAGGAGAAGACAGCUUGGACUCACAACCCACGCUGGAGAAGGUGCAGCCUACUGCUAUUUCCAGGCAUUAUACAAAAAGAUUUCUGCACACUAGUUGAGCCUUCAAACAGCGCCAUAAGACCUCAUCCCAGGUCCUGGGAUACGGAGAUGAACCAGGCAGGGCCCUGUCCUCAGGGGGCUCACGUCUAGUGGGAUCAUUCAUGUCUGAGCAUCUGUUCGUCUGUCGGCCCACCCACUGCACAGGGAGUGCCUCCAGGGAAUCUGAUCAACUCUAAGCGAGAGCCCUGCACGGCAGAAAUCAGUGGAUGUUUAUUGAAUGAAUAAAUAAAUAAACGGAGAAAGAAGGUUGAAAGAAGAACAACGCUUGAGGUUAUUACGGAAGUCUUAUGCCUCUUACACUCAGAAACCUUUGUUAAAAAUUUAAUAACUUUUAAAUUAUGAAUAUAACAUACUUCAUUAUAGAAAAUUCGGAAAGUAUAGAAAUUCACAAAUGAGAAGACAAAAAUAAUCCAGAGUACUAACCCCCAGGGUUAGUCUUUUUGUUUAUUCCUUUGGUCUUUUAUAUGUCUGGUUAUCUUUUUUAAAGAAACAACACUUGGAUCUUGCUAUAUAUAUAGCUUUGCAGUUUACAUUAUAAAAAACACUAACAGUGUAUCAUGAGCAUUUUCCUAAUGGAACAUUCUUUCAAACCUAAGUGUCUACUUAAAGGUUGGAUUUAUUUUCACCAAUGGUGACAUCCUUUACCAUGUAAAAUAAUUAUAAACCCAAGACUGAGGUUGAAAUCACAAUGGGAAGAAUAUUUAGCAGGUUUCCAGGCUGCACACUGGGCCUCAGCCAUGGCUGCUCAGUCUUUCCCCAGCAAACACCCUGGGAAAUGCCUUGAGAAUGUCAGCUGGAGGCAUCAGCCUUACUUGGCUCCUUUAAGACUCAGAGUUACAUCAUCAGCACAUUCACUUUCUACAGUUUUGAUCUCUGUGGGUACCAUGAAAAUUCCCUUGUGGCUGCAGAAGAACUGUGAUACAGGCAUCAGAGUGUGUGAUUAAGGGCUGGCUCUGGAGUCAGAUUCAACCUAAACUGGCUCCACCUGAGAUGGGUGUGUGAUCUUGGCAAGGACCUUCACCUCUCUGGGCUUCAGUUCUUUCAUCUGUAACACAGGGCAGCACCUGCGCCCACCUCCACGGGCAGUCACCAGAAAUUGAGCACAAUGCCUGGCACAUGAGAAGCCACCAAUAAA
Long non-coding RNA from Camelus dromedarius (Arabian camel), 1604 nucleotides. RefSeq lists it as uncharacterized. The transcript has 4 exons. The record is from RefSeq and is a predicted model, not a curated record. NCBI's taxonomy places the organism in Eukaryota, Metazoa, Chordata, Mammalia, Artiodactyla, Camelidae.